This 333-nucleotide small RNA is filed under the name uncultured Entrophospora. Its description in RNAcentral is "SSU rRNA". It matches the Rfam family "Eukaryotic small subunit ribosomal RNA", at positions 569 to 908 of the family's 1831-position model. Lineage: Eukaryota; Fungi; Glomeromycota; Glomeromycetes; Entrophosporales; Entrophosporaceae. The record is from RNAcentral.
AGCAGCCGCGGUAAUUCCAGCUCCAAUAGCGUAUAUUAAAGUUGUUGCAGUUAAAAAGCUCGUAGUUGAAUUUCGGGACCAAUAUGUUGGUCGUGCCUCGGUACGCACUGGCAUUAUUGGUUUCUCCCUUCUGACGAACUACGAUGCCAUUAAUUUGGUGUCGUAGGGAAUCAGGACUGUUAACUUUGAAAAAUUGAGUGUUUAAAGCAGGCUCGCGCUUGAAUACAUUAGCAUGGAAUAAUGAAAUAGGACGUUUGAUUCUAUUUUGUUGGUUUCUAGGAUCGACGUAAUGAUUAAUAGGGAUAGUUGGGGGCAUUAGUAUUCAAUUGUCAG